Molecule: ribosomal RNA, 283 nt
Filed under: Escherichia coli
Lineage: Bacteria; Pseudomonadati; Pseudomonadota; Gammaproteobacteria; Enterobacterales; Enterobacteriaceae
Description: partial 23S ribosomal RNA
Rfam family: Bacterial large subunit ribosomal RNA
Source: RNAcentral
UGGGCGCUGGAGAACUGAGGGGGGCUGCUCCUAGUACGAGAGGACCGGAGUGGACGCAUCACUGGUGUUCGGGUUGUCAUGCCAAUGGCACUGCCCGGUAGCUAAAUGCGGAAGAGAUAAGUGCUGAAAGCAUCUAAGCACGAAACUUGCCCCGAGAUGAGUUCUCCCUGACUCCUUGAGAGUCCUGAAGGAACGUUGAAGACGACGACGUUGAUAGGCCGGGUGUGUAAGCGCAGCGAUGCGUUGAGCUAACCGGUACUAAUGAACCGUGAGGCUUAACCUU